GAUGAACGCUGGCGGCGUGCUUAACACAUGCAAGUCGAACGAUGAAGCCCAGCUUGCUGGGUGGAUUAGUGGCGAACGGGUGAGUAACACGUGAGUAACCUGCCCUUGACUCUGGGAUAAGUCUGGGAAACUGGGUCUAAUACUGGAUAUGACUUCUCAUCGCAUGGUGGGGGGUGGAAAGAUUUAUUGGUCUUGGAUGGACUCGCGGCCUAUCAGCUUGUUGGUGGAGUAAUGGCUCACCAAGGCGGCGACGGGUAGCCGGCCUGAGAGGGUGACCGGCCACCCUGGGACUGAGACACGGACCAGACUCCUACGGGAGGCAGCAGUGGGGAAUAUUGCACAGUGGGCGCAAGCCUGAUGCAGCGACGCCGCGUGAGGGAUGACGGCCUUCGGGUUGUAAACCUCUUUCAGUAGGGAAGAAGCGGGAGUGACGGUACCUGCAGAAGAAGCGCCGGCUAACUACGUG
RNAcentral lists this ribosomal RNA (466 nucleotides) under uncultured bacterium. RNAcentral's name for it is "partial 16S ribosomal RNA". It matches the Rfam family "Bacterial small subunit ribosomal RNA", at positions 28 to 507 of the family's 1533-position model. The record is from RNAcentral.